This 648-nucleotide long non-coding RNA is filed under the name Anser cygnoides (Swan goose). RNAcentral's name for it is "lncRNA (ENSACDG00005006028.1)". Lineage: Eukaryota; Metazoa; Chordata; Aves; Anseriformes; Anatidae. The record is from RNAcentral.
UUCUGGGGCUAGAUUUAACUGCCAGCAAGUCUUGUACAAUUCAGCUGACUUCAGCAGAGCUGCCUGGGAAAGCAAACUUGGGCUGUUUGUAUUUGUUGUGUGGUGCUGUGGAGUCCCCCAGAUGAAAGGUGCUACAGAGGACACUGCAUGGGUCAUGCUUUACCGUGUGGUUUGCUAACCAGGAGUCUGAUGUUGGAGGAGAGCAGUGGAUCGAGGAGUGGUGCUUCUGCUCUUCCCAGACGUGCCCACAGCCAUGCUGUGGAGAAGACGUGGAAGACAGAACUGAGAAGUGCAGUGGACGCACAGAGGUGGUGCAGCUGCAGUGCCCAGCACGCCGCCCAGCCCGGAUUCGGCCGAUGGUGCAUCAGUCCCCCCAGGUCCAUCCAGGAACUGGGACCCAGGCUUGAGGCAUUAUCAGAGGUGAUGAAAGCAACUAAAAAUUACAGUUCCACUUCCUGUUUUGCAAUGAGAAGUGAUACCAAAUACAGCCUGGAAAGGAUCCACAACUGUCAUUGGAAGUUUUUGAGAUCUUGCAUCUCCAGAACAUCCCAACUGACUUUAUUGCAGGAUGACUUUGGCAACAUUUUGGUGGAACUCCAGGCAUGCUUGAAAGCAACAGCAACAGUGUUUUUUUCUUCAGUGAACUAG